Molecule: ribosomal RNA, 377 nt
Filed under: uncultured organism
Description: partial 16S ribosomal RNA
Rfam family: Bacterial small subunit ribosomal RNA
Source: RNAcentral
GUAGGUGGCAAGCGUUGUCCGCAAUUAUUGGGCGUAAAGCGCGCGCAGGCGGUUCUUUAAGUCUGAUGUGAAAGCCCACGGCUCAACCGUGGAGGGUCAUUGGAAACUGGAGAACUUGAGUACAGAAGAGGAAAGCGGAAUUCCACGUGUAGCGGUGAAAUGCGUAGAGAUGUGGAGGAACACCAGUGGCGAAGGCGGCUUUCUGGUCUGUAACUGACGCUGAGGCGCGAAAGCGUGGGGGGGAGCAAACAGGAUUAGAUACCCUGGUAGUCCACGCCGUAAACGAUGAGUGCUAAGUGUUAGGGGGUUUCCGCCCCCCCCUUAGUGCUGCAGCUAACGCAUUAAGCACUCCGCCUGGGGAUACGGCCGCAAGGCUG